RNAcentral lists this ribosomal RNA (253 nucleotides) under uncultured bacterium. RNAcentral's name for it is "partial 16S ribosomal RNA". It matches the Rfam family "Bacterial small subunit ribosomal RNA", at positions 524 to 776 of the family's 1533-position model. The record is from RNAcentral.
UACGUAGGGGGCUAGCGUUGUCCGGAAUCAUUGGGCGUAAAGCGCGUGUAGGCGGUCCGGUAAGUCCGCUGUGAAAGUCGGGGGCUCAACCCUCGAAUGCCGGUGGAUACUGUCGGGCUAGAGUGCGGAAGAGGCGAGUGGAAUUCCUGGUGUAGCGGUGAAAUGCGCAGAUAUCAGGAGGAACACCGGUGGCGAAGGCGGCAUCCUGGACCGACAUUGACGCUGAGGCGCGAAAGCCAGGGGAGCAAACGGG